RNAcentral lists this ribosomal RNA (429 nucleotides) under Chloroflexota bacterium. Its description in RNAcentral is "Chloroflexi bacterium partial 16S ribosomal RNA". It matches the Rfam family "Bacterial small subunit ribosomal RNA", at positions 355 to 776 of the family's 1533-position model. The record is from RNAcentral. Lineage: Bacteria; Bacillati; Chloroflexota.
UGGGGAAUAUUGCACAAUGGGCGCAAGCCUGAUGCAGCCAUGCCGCGUGUAUGAAGAAGGCCUUCGGGUUGUAAAGUACUUUCAGCCGGGAGGAAGGUGGUAAGGUUAAUAACUUUAUCAAUUGACGUUACCGACAGAAGAAGCCCCGGCUAACUCCGUGCCAGCAGCCGCGGUAAUACGGAGGGUGCAAGCGUUAAUCGGAAUUACUGGGCGUAAAGCGCACGCAGGCGGUUGAUUGAGUCAGAUGUGAAAUCCCCGGGCUUAACCCGGGAAUUGCAUCUGAUACUGGCAAGCUUGAGUCUCGUAGAGGGGGGUAGAAUUCCAGGUGUAGCGGUGAAAUGCGUAGAGAUCUGGAGGAAUACCGGUGGCGAAGGCGGCCCCCUGGACGAAGACUGACGCUCAGGUGCGAAAGCGUGGGGAGCAAACAGG